CCCUUAGAUGUCCGGGGCUGCGCGCGCGCUACACUGAAGGAAUCAGCGUGCUAAAACCAUUGUCGAAAGGCAUUGGUAAACCCAUUAAAAUCCUACGUGAUUGGGAUCGGGAAUUGCAAUUAUUUCCCUUGAACGAGGAAUUCCCAGUAAGUGUGGGUCAUAAGCUCGCGUUGAUUACGUCCCUGCCCUUUGUACACACCGCCCGUCGCUGCCCGGGACUGAGCCGUUUCGAGAAAAGCGGGGACUGCUGCUGUCGGGGCUUUCGGGCCUUGGCUUCGGUGGAAACCGCUUUAAUCGCAGUGGCUUGAACCGGGCAAAAGUCGUAACA
RNAcentral lists this ribosomal RNA (328 nucleotides) under uncultured eukaryote. Its description in RNAcentral is "partial 18S ribosomal RNA". It matches the Rfam family "Eukaryotic small subunit ribosomal RNA", at positions 1470 to 1796 of the family's 1831-position model. The record is from RNAcentral.